This 572-nucleotide ribosomal RNA is filed under the name uncultured bacterium. RNAcentral's name for it is "bacterial SSU rRNA". It matches the Rfam family "Bacterial small subunit ribosomal RNA", at positions 355 to 945 of the family's 1533-position model. The record is from RNAcentral.
UGAGGAAUAUUGCACAAUGGGGGAAACCCUGAUGCAGCAACGCCGCGUGGAGGAUGAAGGCUUCGGUUGUAAACUCCUUUUCUGGGGGAAGAGACAAGGACGGUACCCCAGGAAUAAGUCACGGCUAACUACGUGCCAGCAGCCGCGGUAAUACGUAGGUGGCGAGCGUUAUCCGGAAUUACUGGGCGUAAAGCGCACGCAGGCGGUUAAACAAGUUCGGCGUGAAAGCUCCCGGCUUAACUGGGAGAGGUCGUUGAAAACUGUUUAGCUUGAGGUAGUGAGAGGGGUACGGAAUUCCAGGUGUAGUGGUGGAAUGCGUAGAUAUCUGGAGGAACACCAGUGGCGAAAGCGAUACCCUGGCAUUGACCUGACGCUCAUGUGCGAAAGCGUGGGGAGCGAACGGGAUUAGAUACCCCGGUAGUCCACGCUGUAAACGAUGAAUACUAGGUGUGGGUGGUGUCAAACCCAUUCGUACCGAAGCAAACGCGAUAAGUAUUCCGCCUGGGGAGUACGGCCGCAAGGCUGAAACUUCAAAGGAAAUGACGGGAAGGGCGAAUCGCGCCGCCUUCCCU